UUAUUAAUGAAAGACGAGAAGACCCUAUAGAGCUUGAAUUAAAUUUUUUUUAUUAGUUUCUAUUUAUUAGGUUGAAUAAUAUUGAUUGAGUUAAUUUUUGUUGGGGUGACAUUUAAAUUUUAUUUGGUUUUAAAAUACGAUAAAAAUACUUUUUAAUUUAUAAUAAUUUAUUUAAAAUGAUCCAAUAAUAUUGAUCUUAGGACUAAGUUACCUUAGGGUUAACAGCAUAAUCUCUUUUGAGAGUUCUUAUCGACGAAGAGGAUUGUGACCUCGAUGUUGGAUUA
RNAcentral lists this ribosomal RNA (284 nucleotides) under Priapulus caudatus. RNAcentral describes it as "partial large subunit ribosomal RNA". The record is from RNAcentral. Lineage: Eukaryota; Metazoa; Priapulida; Priapulimorpha; Priapulimorphida; Priapulidae.